Candidatus Nomurabacteria bacterium is the source of this 71-nucleotide non-coding RNA. Lineage: Bacteria; Candidatus Nomuraibacteriota. The record is from Rfam.
GUGCCUGUAGUUUAGUGGUAAAACUUCUGCUUGUGGAGCAGAUAUCGAGAGUUCGAUUCUCUCCAGGCGCC